Molecule: transfer RNA, 73 nt
Filed under: Chroomonas mesostigmatica CCMP1168
Lineage: Eukaryota; Cryptophyceae; Pyrenomonadales; Chroomonadaceae
Description: tRNA-Arg
Rfam family: tRNA
About the family: Transfer RNA (tRNA) molecules are approximately 80 nucleotides in length.
Source: RNAcentral
AGCCUUGUGGCGUAAUGGAUAACGCACCGGACUUCUAAUCCGGGGAUUGCGGGUUCGAGUCCCGUCGAGGUUA